Pelobates cultripes (western spadefoot toad) is the source of this 227-nucleotide non-coding RNA. The record is from the annotation of a GenBank genome assembly. NCBI's taxonomy places the organism in Eukaryota, Metazoa, Chordata, Amphibia, Anura, Pelobatidae.
CAAUCAAGCUCCUGCAUAACACUUGAGAAAAAGACUGAGACUGUCCUACCUUCCAGGAAAAGCACGAAACGAGAGUUAACAAAGGAAGAAAUACAAAAGAGACGAAAAGGGGAUGCAUGCUUUUAUUGUGGUGAAAAAGGGCACAGAAUCUCAUUAUGUCCAAGAAAACCUCCUAAACCUACUGUAACCACUGAACCUCAGAUACAGACCACAGAAACAAACUCUCC